This 514-nucleotide ribosomal RNA is filed under the name uncultured bacterium. RNAcentral's name for it is "partial 16S ribosomal RNA". It matches the Rfam family "Bacterial small subunit ribosomal RNA", at positions 29 to 523 of the family's 1533-position model. The record is from RNAcentral.
AGCGAACGCUGGCGGCGUGCUUAACACAUGCAAGUCGAACGUGAAAUGUAGCAACACAGAGUAAAGUGGCGUACGGGUGAGUAACACGUGGGUAAUCUACCAAAGAGCCUGGAAUAACCGACCGAAAGGUUGGCUAAUACAGGAUUGUUCAAAUGAAGAAUAAUGAUUCGAUUGGGAAAGGGAGCGAACAAUCGCCUUUACUUUUUGAUGAGCCGGGGUCUGAUUAGCUAGUUGGUAGGGUAAUGGCCUACCAAGGCGACGAUCAGUAGCUGGUCUGAGAGGAUGAUCAGCCACACUGGAACUGAAACACGGUCCAGACUCCUACGGGAGGCAGCAGUGGGGAAUCUUGCGCAAUGGACGAAAGUCUGACGCAGCCACGCCGCGUGAGUGAAGAAGGCCUUCGGGUUGUAAAGCUCUGUCGGAAGGGACAAAAACGUUUAAGGUUAAUAGCCUUAGAUCUUGAUGGUACCUUCAAAGGAAGCACCGGCUAACUUCGUGCCAGCAGCCGCAGUAA